Molecule: small RNA, 701 nt
Filed under: Pan troglodytes (chimpanzee)
Lineage: Eukaryota; Metazoa; Chordata; Mammalia; Primates; Hominidae
Description: retained intron
Source: RNAcentral
AUAUUAGUUCCUUAAUUUUUAAUAAUUAUGUUGACAUUCAUCCUAAAUAUAGGCAAUUUAUGUUGGUAGGUCUACCUGCAAUCUAAAUUUUAAUUCUCUCCCUCAUCCUUUAUUUCUGCUUGACUCUAGGUAUUGCAGUUGGACACAUAUAUUUUUUCUUGGAAGAUGUAUUUCCCAAUCAACCUGGUGGAAUAAGAAUUCUGAAAACACCAUCUAUUUUGAAAGCUAUUUUUGAUACACCAGAUGAGGAUCCAAAUUACAAUCCACUACCUGAAGAACGGCCAGGAGGCUUCGCCUGGGGUGAGGGCCAGCGGCUCGGAGGUUAAAGCAGCAGUGCCAAUAAUGAGACCCAGCUGGGAAGGACUCGGUGAUACCCACUGGGAUCUUUUAUCCUUUGUUGCAAAAGUGUGGACACUUUUGACAGCUUGGCGGAUUUUAACUCCAGAAGCACUUUAUGAAAUGGUACACUGACUAAUCCAGAAGACAUUUCCAACAGUUUGCCAGUGGUUCCUCACUACACUGGUACUGAAAGUGUAAUUUCUUAGAGCCAAAAAACUGGAGAAACAAAUAUCCUGCCACCUCUAACAAGUACAUGAGUACUUGAUUUUUAUGGUAUAAGGCAGAGCCUUUUCUUCCUCUUCUUGAUAGAUGAGGCCAUGGUGUAAAUGGAAGUUUCAGAGAGGACAAAAUAAAACGGAAUU